AUGCUCUAACCACUGGGCUACUGGAUGGACACAUAUGGACAUAGACACACGUCAUUUGCAUGGGGCCUGAUUCAGUAGCUGGAUUCAGAGCAUGUCUACUGGAUCAGGCAAGAAAAGUAGUGGAAUGCCUAAUUUCAGAAGUCCAGUGGGGCUUACACAUGAGCUAGGGCACUCAGCUGUUUGAUGGCAUCAGGACUUAGGUGAUUUUGCACUUGCCCACCAGUAGAAAUGCAAGUGCACACAGCAUUAGGUGGCAGCUAAGCAGGUGGCCUGAGGAUCUCAGUUAUGCCUAAAUGUUGGACUUAGGUGCCUAUAGUAGCAGUAAGCCACUGAAGUCCCUUUGUGGAUCUAGCCCGAAGUCCAAAAGUAUCUGCUACACCAGACUAUAAAUGGGUAAUUCAGUCUAUCAUGUCUUUUGCAAGCAAAGACAAAGAGGUACCAUAGUUCAUGGCUCUUCAUUAGACGUUAAAGUGAACAGCUAAACACCAUCUUUGCAGCCAGCAAAACAUUGCAAUCCCUCAGAAUUAAAACAAACACUUUUUUUAAAAAAAAAGAUCAACUGUUAUGAAAAGUCAUGAUUAGAGAAGCAAAGAUAACAGAUAAGAAAUGAACAAAUCACAGGGAAUGUCUUGUAAAUAAAUGUAACGACAAUGGAAUUACUGUCAAAUCAAAUUAUACAAAUUACAGGUUGUAAACAGCAGUUCCAAAGCAGCCCAAUUGAUCACUCAAAAUGAAAUGAGAAACAAGAAGAGGAAAUCUCCAGCAUACUAAGCACUUCCUUAUCCAAUAGGCACACCUCAUCAUCCUUCUGCAGCCAGCAUAAGCCAAAACCCACAAUCUGUCUUCUGCACAGGAGGUGCCUGCCAAUCAACAAGAGCCAGAGAGUCACCCAGAGUAACAAACCAGGGGAAUGCCCCCAAAGUGACCAUGAUGUGCUAGGGACUUUCCAGACAUUUCCGUGAGCAGACGUGGGACGACACACAGCUGAUUCGCUCUCAGAAGAAAAAUAUUCAGGAAAGGAAAUUUUGUGCUGUUGAUUUGGAUGCCUGCUCCCACCCCUUCCCACCAUCUCACUUCUCUCGCCCUUCCUUCAGGUAGCUUCCUUUUGAUUUGCCCUGCAAUUGCUUGGUGAUAUUAAUCUAAUCUGAAACACUGGAAUGCGUUACCUAGGGAGGUGGUGGAGUCUCCUUCCUUGGAGGUUUUUAAGGCCCGGCUUGACAAAGCCCUGGCUGGGAUGAUUUAGCUGGGAAUUGGUCCUGCUUUGAGCAGGGGGUUGGACUAGAUGACCUCUUGAGGUCCCUUCCAACUCUGAUAUUCUAUGAUUCUAUGAAUCUACAUGGAUAUUUCUGAUGUGCUCAUGAGCUUGGUAAUCUUAUAAGAAUGGCACCUUCUCCCAGGAUAGAUACAUCACCUUUCUUUUUACAAAUACUCGUAUCUUGUAUUUGAACAUCUGUCCUGUUGAAUAAAAUAAUUUGUUUUCUUUUUUAAUUCUGCCUG
RNAcentral lists this long non-coding RNA (1497 nucleotides) under Chrysemys picta bellii (western painted turtle). RNAcentral's name for it is "lncRNA (ENSCPBG00000025352.1)". Lineage: Eukaryota; Metazoa; Chordata; Testudines; Emydidae. The record is from RNAcentral.